CUUGGAUUAUUUCUGUGGUGUUCCUCUGGACAUGUUCGAACAGGUCCAUGUCUCUCUUGUAUUGAGGACUGCAUCAGGACACAGUACUCCAGAUUAAUCAGCCACUCGAUGGGGAUUAACAGUGGAGCACCUCUUUGUGUCGCCUUUCCACCUCUCUGUAGCAAGAAUAACAACUUCAGCACUUCUUCAAUAAUAAUUAUGAAACUGGUAUUAACUGAAUGGCAAUUAUGGAUUUUUAACUCUAACUCACAGUAAACCAGCAAGCCAUAUGUUGAAAUUCCUACCAAAUAGCUUUCCAUUCUUUAUGUCUCGUAUCUACACAAGAAGUUGCAAGAUACUUGUUUGUACAAGAGGAAUAUAAGCAUUACUUGCCUGAGGAACGGAAGGUGAAAGAGAAGACACCCUGACUUGUU
RNAcentral lists this long non-coding RNA (413 nucleotides) under Gallus gallus (chicken). RNAcentral describes it as "long non-coding RNA NONGGAT004626". Lineage: Eukaryota; Metazoa; Chordata; Aves; Galliformes; Phasianidae. The record is from RNAcentral.